GUGGGGAAUAUUGGACAAUGGGCGAAAGCCUGAUCCAGCCAUGCCGCGUGUGUGAAGAAGGUCUUCGGAUUGUAAAGCACUUUAAGUUGGGAGGAAGGGCAGUAAGUUAAUACCUUGCUGUUUUGACGUUACCGACAGAAUAAGCACCGGCUAACUUCGUGCCAGCAGCCGCGGUAAUACGAAGGGUGCAAGCGUUAAUCGGAAUUACUGGGCGUAAAGCGCGCGUAGGUGGUUUUGUAAGUUGGAGGUGAAAUCCCCGGGCUCAACCUGGGAACUGCCUCCAAAACUGCAUGACUAGAGUACGGUAGAGGGUAGUGCAAUUUCCUGUGUAGCGGUGAAAUGCGUAGAUAUAGGAAGGAACACCAGUGGCGAAGGCGACUACCUGGACUGAUACUGACACUGAGGUGCGAAAGCGUGGGGAGCAAACAAGAUUAGAAACCCCGGUAGUCC
Molecule: ribosomal RNA, 450 nt
Filed under: uncultured bacterium
Lineage: Bacteria
Description: partial 16S ribosomal RNA
Rfam family: Bacterial small subunit ribosomal RNA
Source: RNAcentral